Molecule: ribosomal RNA, 497 nt
Filed under: uncultured bacterium
Lineage: Bacteria
Description: partial 16S ribosomal RNA
Rfam family: Bacterial small subunit ribosomal RNA
Source: RNAcentral
GAUGAACGCUGGCGGCGUGCCUAAUACAUGCAAGUCGAGCGAACAGAUAAGGAGCUUGCUCCUUUGACGUUAGCGGCGGACGGGUGAGUAACACGUGGGUAACCUACCUAUAAGACUGGGAUAACUUCGGGAAACCGGAGCUAAUACCGGAUAACAUUUGGAACCGCAUGGUUCUAAAGUGAAAGAUGGUUUUGCUAUCACUUAUAGAUGGACCCGCGCCGUAUUAGCUAGUUGGUAAGGUAACGGCUUACCAAGGCAACGAUACGUAGCCGACCUGAGAGGGUGAUCGGCCACACUGGAACUGAGACACGGUCCAGACUCCUACGGGAGGCAGCAGUAGGGAACCUUCCGAAAUGGGCGAAAGCCUGACGGAGCAACGCCGCGUGAGUGAUGAAGGGUUUCGGCUCGUAAAACUCUGUUAUUAGGGAAGAACAAACGUGUAAGUAACUGUGCACGUCUUGACGGUACCUAAUCAGAAAGCCACGGCUAACUACGUG